CCGAGCGCUAGUGCGGAGGCUUAACGGCAGUCUGGGGGACUGGGGGUCGAGAGUUCGAAUCUCUCCGCUCCGACCA
RNAcentral lists this transfer RNA (76 nucleotides) under Alphaproteobacteria bacterium 64-6. Its description in RNAcentral is "tRNA-Pro". Lineage: Bacteria; Pseudomonadati; Pseudomonadota; Alphaproteobacteria. The record is from RNAcentral.